GCGCCCGUAGCUCAGUGGAUAGAGCAACUGCCUUCUAAGCAGUAGGUCGCAGGUUCGAGUCCUGCCGGGCGCGCCA
RNAcentral lists this transfer RNA (76 nucleotides) under Rhodospirillales bacterium. Its description in RNAcentral is "tRNA-Arg". It matches the Rfam family "tRNA". Rfam says of the family: Transfer RNA (tRNA) molecules are approximately 80 nucleotides in length. The record is from RNAcentral. Lineage: Bacteria; Pseudomonadati; Pseudomonadota; Alphaproteobacteria; Rhodospirillales.